This is a non-coding RNA of Callithrix jacchus (white-tufted-ear marmoset), 6592 nucleotides long. NCBI's taxonomy places the organism in Eukaryota, Metazoa, Chordata, Mammalia, Primates, Cebidae. The record is from RefSeq and is a predicted model, not a curated record.
UCAAACUGCUGAAGGAAUGCAAAUGAGAUGCUUGCUACAGAAGAACACAGGAAAGUUUAUCUUGUUUAAUCGAGUUUAUAGUUUCUCGUGUCUCUGCCUGGAAUAGACUUAAAGGGAGUCUCAUGCAAUCUUAGAGGUUAAUCCUUGUUCACACCAGGUUUGACUCAUAUCAGCCCUGGCGUGCUGUGGUACCUGAAGGCUUCCCUGACAAGGGGCUCUAAAGAGAUGGACUGCCACCGAUCUAGCUGAAAUGAGCCAGUUGCACCUAGCUGAUAAAACCAGAGAUUUACUGGAGCAGACAGGCCAGAGCUUAAACAGGCUUCUCUCUCUAUUGAAACCCCUUCUGUCACUUGAAUCAGUCAUCUUCCCUGUCAGGCGGCAUCAGCUAAAACAAUAGAGUGGCGUCAGAGUUUAGCUGAAAAGAAGGAGAUGUCAGACAACAGAUAAGAGAGCCUUAUUCUGAUCCGUGGGGUUUGGUCUGCUUGCAGUUCCCCGCCUGAAUUCUAAGAGGGUGGUUCCUACUCCAGGUGUAGAAUAAAGCCAUAAAGCCUUUAGAGCUCAGGUAAUGAUAAUGAAUUAGGAGGGGAAAAAUGGUUUCAGUACUGAUUUAAUACAAGAAAUGCUAGGUAAUGGCUAAAAAAAUAAUUUUUCUCCUGUUGGGGUUUCUACCUUCAUUUGUCUUUAAUAUAUCUAUGCUGCUUGAUGCCUAAGCUAUAUUGGUGGACAGAAAUAAGCUCCCAAGGAGGAAAAUGUAAGCUGAACACAUUAAAAAUUCAUUGGCUAUGGUUUCUUCUUCAGGGAGUGAUGGUAAAUGAGGCAAUUGAAUUACUGAAUGUUUUCUGUGCAUGGCCCAAGCCCUGGAGAAAAAGUCUACCCAGGUUAGAAUAGCCCCAAACUAGAAAGCAGACGUUAUGGACACAGUGGAGGAUUUAAAUAAGAUGCCUAACAGACAAGACUUGAGUCCUUUACAUCUCUGUGGGUCCCCAGAGUCCUGCAUAGAGUCUUGCAUGUAGUAGGCCCUCAACAUACAUUUUGCUGAAGGGAUGAAUAUUUAGAUAUUCAGUUUUGACCAUUAUUUAAUUUGCCUUUGCAGUAUUCUCUGGACACAAAAUAUGUAUAUUUCAAAACUGUGCCCUAAAAUGAUAUAUAUGCUUAACUUUUCAGAAAUUUAUUGUUGUAUUUUCAUUUUAGAAGAGAAGGCUGCAACUUUGUAGAAAUGUAUUGUUACUGCUUAUUGAAGCUAAGGGAAUGUCACUGCUCCCAUCAGGCCCCAUCAGGGCUCUCUUUUCUGUGUGUGGGAGGGUACCAGGAACAAAGGUUUCUUCUAAGGUGCCCCCUGGCACUGACAGUGCUCUUCUCUUCCAUUUUCCCUUAUCUGGUAAGGUGCUUUAUUUCUGAAUGUAUCUGAGUGGGUUCUCUGGCCUUCUUUCAUAAGCCUAUUGAGUGGGAGGUGUGGAUCAGUACAUGUGGAAAGGGCCUGAGUCUGCUGCCAAAUCAAGAGGGGGCCUUGAUAGGUUGACCAACUGUUCUGUUUUGCCCAAGACUGUACUAAUUUUGGUACUGAAGUUUCCACAUCUUUGGAAAUCCCUGAGUUCUGAGCAGAGACAGGGCACUUGAUAUGUCACGUCUUGGACUUUUAUGUUGUUCUGGGUUUCAGGUAAAUGCUGAAUUCCUGGAAGUGACAUGGGUUUGAAGAUUGAAAAGGACUGAUACGUUUCUGAUUUUUCUAAUAAUAAUAUGUAAAAUGACAGUCGUAUAGUUUAGAGAUCACUCACCUGGUGGUCUUUGCAAGCUCCAUUCAGACUCACAAACCACAUUUAGAAUCCAUUUACCAGAAGGAUCCAGCUGAGGAACCACAGCUUGACUGGCACAGUGGGGUGAGCAAUUCUCUUCUGUCAGAGGACACGAGAGCUCAGUGGUAGAGCGAAGUUUCAAACUCAAUGUCGUUGCCUUGCUUCUAACCACUGUGCUACGGGCACUCUGCAGUUAACAGUGAUGGAGGUGAUUAGUCAAAGUGUGAUUACUUUUACUGGAGUUGUUUAUUUGUAUUUUUCCAAUCAGUUAUGACUCUCUUAAGGGCAAGAAUCUGGCCUAUUCAACCUUGCAUUCUCCCUGGGACCUAGUGGCUUCUGUGCUAUAGGACAUUCUUUUGGCUUAUUGAGGGGGUGGCCUAGCCUCCUGAAUGUGGAUGUUGAUAUAUAAGAGCCUCAUCAUUGAACAGCCUUCCUUCUCACUUCCCCCUCCUCUCCAUCUUCUUUUUCCUACCAUCACCUUUGGAGUUUACCCUGUCUGUCUCUCAUGGAAAGUGGAUGGAGGAAACAUUAUUUACAUGGGGAUAAAAAAGUCAGGCCUUCCUAAUUCUUGCUGUGUGUGUAGGUGUCUAGAUGUGUGUGCACACACUUUUGUAGAUAGGCAAGAUGAGGGAGACAUAAAGCCUUAUUCAGAUUUAUGUAUCUUUUUAUGUAGACAGAUUUUAAUACUCAGGAACUUAUCUAUUUCUUCAAAACCACCCAGAUUUACUAGGAGGACAAAAAAUGUAUUGCCCUGUUGCCUAAAAGCAGCUGUUCCAGAUGUGUGAAGAGAGGCCAUAUGCAAACAUCCCAAAGUCAUCUGGGAACUGAAGAGAUCACCGACUAGCAAGCAUAUUCAUUCCUCAAAGACACAGGCCAGAUUCACCCGGAAUCACUCAACAGAGAGAAACAUCUCCUAAAGCAGCAAAAAUAACAAGUUGUUUCUAUUGAAAGAAAGCUGAUUACUGAGGUUUUGUUGACCCUGUAGAACUCCUGAAAGAGCAAUUGGAGAGCCGAUUUCAGUUUGUAGACAAGUCUAUGAAGAAUAAGAUAUAACAGCCUAGUCCGAUAGGCCAAAUUUUGGAUUUAUAUUUUAGAGAUAACCCAGAGUGAGGCCUGUUUUAUAAGAUGAGAAACUAAGGACAAAAGUUUUCUAUUGCUGCCACCAUCAUUUUCACCUCCUGUCAUGAUUCUGAGGCCUCCCCAGCCAUGUAGAACUGGAAGAAGGAAGAUUUCUAUUCCUACCAGUGAAGACUCCUGAAGCGUGGGAUACUGUUUUGCUCUUACAAAGACGAAGCGUCAAGAGCAGCCUGGGACAAAUCAUGGGAAAGGCAGGCACGCCUUGAAAAUGAGGAGGAGGUUCACAUUUGGUAUCUGUUCUCGAACUCUUUUAGAAGCUGUUGCUACACUUCAAAACCUGACAGCUCCUGGGCAAACUGUGUGGAUAUUUCAAAGAUUCCAGGUAGCACUGGCAGAAGGGUAAUUGUAUCCUGUGGAGCUUGUGAGAGGAGGUUGGGAGGAUUAUUAGAGUUUAUUAACCAUCCUAAGGAAUUUCCUAUAUACCUUUCUCAGGAACUCUGAAUUUUGCCAUUUACUCCUUGCUGACCCCUUUAACCUUCAGCCUUUUCUUCCUUCCAAUUAAUUUUUAAAUGUUUCUACAAGAAAUCAUAUUACCAAGCUUCUACUUUGACUAAAAUAUUGAAAUGACUACUCAAUACACUGGAGAUUUGACCCUAGGCAUCUUUUUUUUCCCAACCAAUUUUCAUUACUUGCUUGUAAUUUCUACUCUUGUCAAGUGGACAGGGCAUGCCUUUUCUCUGCAUAGCUACUUACCCCCUUUUGCCUGGGAAGUCAUUCAUGCAUUCCACACAGAUUUAUGGCCCCCAACUUCUGGACUGUGCCGGGUAUUAUUGUUUCGACAAAAAUGAUUUUUAUUCCAUCAGUCCCCAAAAGGAUUUCAUAGCAUGAAGAGGACAUAGGCACAUAGGUGUAAUUACAAUACAAAAAAAGGAGUGCCAUCAUGCAGGUGUGAUGAACAAAGGCAGGUGAGGGAUCUCCAGAAGGUGUUGCAGGAAAGGUGGUGCUUGAACACUGUUGCAAAAGAGGAGCAUAUAUUUUUCAUAUAAAAAAAUGGGGGAAAUAGCAAAAAAGCAUGAAAGCAUGAUUUGGGAAAUGGCAAAUAACAGUAGAGUUAGGGAGAUUGCAGUGAGAAAUGAAGCAUGAGGAAGUGAAUAAGCAAAACAUAUUUAGGCACAUUUUUGAAUAGAAAUAAAUCUGAAGAUUCUCUCCAAGGGGGUACAAUGAGUUGAUCUAUAAAGAAAAUUCCCAAUUCAAACUAAAUAAAUGGAGCAUUAAGAAAAAAACACCUUUCUGAGCUCAAUAACAAGAAAUGAAAUCUUUAGUGCUAUGGAUGAAUGGGACCCCCCCAGUGGUGAGUGGGACUUGAAGCCCCAUAAUGUACGGAGUUUCAUAAUGUUGAAGUUGGGACCUAAGUCAUUUGUAUGUCAAGGAAGCAUAAAAUGGGCUCCAGUAUAAACUCGGGAGAAAUUCCAUUUGUCAACUGUAAGGUAAAAUAUAUAAGUAUUUCAUAGAUGGUACUAUGUAGUGUUGUUAUAGUUAGUGCUUUCUAAAUUGUCUUUAUUUUUAGAUUUUAUUUCCUCUUUAAUCCACCAUUUGUUUAGAAAGAGAGCUGAUGUGCUGCUGGGUGAGACUUCCUGUCGGGUAUAAUGAGAACUUUUCUUCUGGGUGCAGGGAUCUUCUUCCUUUUCUAUGGCUGCCAUAACAGGGACACUGGUUUCCAGCCACAGAACUCUCCUUGACAGUCUUUGGUGUCAGAAGUCUCACUUUAGGAAACUGAAUGGGACCUGAGCUCUGAGAGCGGGUAUGGGUAUGGUCAGGACAGUCUCAUCCUUUCAUUGUAUCCACAGAAUACAACUAUCCUUCUUCUACAUGCACCUUUUGGAAUGUCCACACAGUUUGCUGGCAGACUCCCUGACGCCCUAUCUUUUGUCUGUGUGGCUUUUUUCGUCAGUUUGUCCCCACUCACUUUAUUUCUUAUAUUUCUGACAAAUUCUUCACUGUUUUUUUGUCACCUUCGCUCCCUCUACUCCCAUCUUCCUUAGGUUUCUAGUGCUAUUUGGAAUUUAUGUUCACAUUUAUUCUGUGACUUUACUGGAAUUUUCCAAGGGGAGGGAGGUAAAUAUGUAUUUAGUCAAUGACCAGCUAUGUUAUCUAUUCUCUACUUCGUAUCUCUAACCCCUUUGAAACCCAUGGAAACUGUAUUAUUUAAAAAGGUCCUUCCUUAGCCACUGACAAAAAAUAAAAUUGCUUUAAUAACUGGAAGGGUAUUUGCUACACUUAUUUGGUAUUUAGAAUGGCACCAUUCCUUCUGGGGUAAUCUCUGGAAUGCCAUUUUGUCCCUUUGUCUUGAAGGUUCUAUCUGCUGCAAUGUAGAUGUCACAGGUUACAUGCCUGUCAUCUUAGUGAGGUACUUCAGAAUGGCAUUACUGACCAUGACUUACAAGUCAUGAUCAAUUUAGCAAAGGUAGGGCAUUCGUGGUAGACUAUGAGAUAGCUUCGGUUUUUAUGGCUGUGUAAUGUGAUGUUUAUGUACCUGUUUUUCAAAGCCUAGAACAAAAAAAUAGAUUCAAAGAUGCUAUUUAGAGAGCCGUAUAAAUGAUUCCUGGAAUCCAGGAACCUGAUAAAUCUGAUUCAAACCUGAGAAAAACAAAUUUCAGCAGAGCAGAGUUAAAGUGGCCUGCGGCAGCAAAGGAGGAGGCUACAUUUGAAAAGAGACCGCCUUCCCCUGAGAACAGGUCAGGAGUUCAUGUUUCCCAGGGACCAGAUAAGGAAUCUGUAGGAGAAGUGUCUGUGUAGGGCUAUAUAAAAAUGGACCCGUGCCCAAGAGGGCUUCCUGCAAAGACUGAAGGGACCUCAGCCAACACAGGCUUCAGUGUUCUAUUCAGAUGCAGCGCUGUGAGAGAGCCAUGAGCAGCAAGCCCAGGGAGAGAUGCUGUCCACACUACAUGCUCCACAGGCACAUGCAGGAGAGAGCUUCCGACAUCUGCCAGCAACAGAGGAAAUCAACACCAGAUGACACUGGUUUCCUGCACCAUAUCUCUCCCACCACUGGGUGUGCCACUGGCUAUCCACCAAGUGGAGUUAGAGAAAUGGAAUUUCUAGGCAAGGAAAUGGAGCAGUCAAUUGUUCCCAUUCCUUCCACUGUAAGCUUCCAACCUAAGGUGGGGACAUGGGGAGAUGCUUGAAGUCUAAAUGCAGUACCGAGCCUGAAAUUAGUAUCUGUUACCUGUUAGGCCCUCUGUUGAAGCAAGAUCUCCUAGCAAUUAAAAUAUCCAGAGAGAGUCUUAAUAAACACUUUUAAAGAAUGUCCAGAAAAUCCAUGGGAUCUGUCUGGAAUUUCCUCAAGGAAAGAAAAAGAAAUACAAGUUCCUCAUGAGAGCACUUUUCUUGUUUUCUCAGUAUUAUACUUGUUCAAAGAAGCAUUAUUACAGAGACAAAUUCUACCCACCCUUCUUGGGGCUAGCUUGCAACAUUGCUGGGGACCAGUUCAGAUUGCUUUCUGGCCAGGGGGAGUUUUUUUAGAGUCUAGGGGAUGAUAAACCAGGAACUGAGACUCUCAGUCCUGCCAUGCCCUUUGUCACAGCUCUGAAUUUGGUGCUUUAUCAUUUUCAUUAGUUCAGGGAGUUGAGCUAUUUGUCAUUUUUUUAGCAUUAAAACAUAGGUAUGAAGGUAGAAAAUGAAGAUCUCUAUCUAUUUCUAUACUUUUUAAAGUGAGUCUCUUG